UGCAUUCACAACUGUAAGACGCUCUGGAUAAGAGCGUCUGCUAAAUGACUAAAA
Salmo salar (Atlantic salmon) is the source of this 54-nucleotide non-coding RNA. NCBI's taxonomy places the organism in Eukaryota, Metazoa, Chordata, Actinopteri, Salmoniformes, Salmonidae. The record is from Rfam.